UACGGGAGGCAGCAGUGGGGAAUCUUGCACAAUGGAGGAAACUCUGAUGCAGCGAUGCCGCGUGAGUGAAGAAGGCCUUUGGGUUGUAAAGCUCUUUCGUCGGGGGAGAAAAUGACUGUACCCGAAUAAGAAGGUCCGGCUAACUUCGUGCCAGCAGCCGCGGUAAU
RNAcentral lists this ribosomal RNA (167 nucleotides) under uncultured bacterium. Its description in RNAcentral is "partial 16S ribosomal RNA". It matches the Rfam family "Bacterial small subunit ribosomal RNA", at positions 340 to 524 of the family's 1533-position model. The record is from RNAcentral.